Molecule: unclassified non-coding RNA, 294 nt
Filed under: Mariannaea sp.
Lineage: Eukaryota; Fungi; Ascomycota; Sordariomycetes; Hypocreales; Nectriaceae
Also listed under: 1 other name
Description: partial contains 5.8S ribosomal RNA, internal transcribed spacer 2, and large subunit ribosomal RNA
Rfam family: 5.8S ribosomal RNA (bases 1-71)
Source: RNAcentral
GUGAGUCAUCGAAUCUUUGAACGCACAUUGCGCCCGCCAGUAUUCUGGCGGGCAUGCCUGUUCGAGCGUCAUUUCAACCCUCAAGCUCUGCUUGGCGUUGGGGAUCGGCAGCCCGGCUUCGCGCCGCGCCGUCCCCCAAAUACAGUGGCGGUCUCGCUGCAGCUUCCUUUGCGUAGUAGCACACCUCGCACCGGAGAGCAGCGCGGCCACGCCGUAAAACCCCCGACUUCUUGUUUUUGACCUCGAAUCAGGUAGGACUACCCGCUGAACUUAAGCAUAUCAAUAAGCGGAGGA